UAAUAUUCCCGUACUUCUGACUAUUGCGAUGGGGGGACGGAGAAGGCUAGGUGGGCCAGGCGACGGUUGUCCUGGUUCAAGUGCGUAGGCUUGAGAGUUAGGUAAAUCCGGCUCUCUCUAAGGCUGAGACACGACGUCGAGCUACUACGGUAGUGAAGUCAUUGAUGCCAUGCUUCCAGGAAAAGCCUCUAAGCUUCAGAUAGUCAGGAAUCG
This 213-nucleotide ribosomal RNA is filed under the name Vibrio cholerae. RNAcentral's name for it is "partial 23S ribosomal RNA". It matches the Rfam family "Bacterial large subunit ribosomal RNA", at positions 1431 to 1644 of the family's 2925-position model. The record is from RNAcentral. Lineage: Bacteria; Pseudomonadati; Pseudomonadota; Gammaproteobacteria; Vibrionales; Vibrionaceae.